CAAAAAAUAGUUUAAAUCAAAACAUUAAUUUUGGAAAUUAAAUAUAUACAACUUUCCUAUUUUUUUGA
This 68-nucleotide transfer RNA is filed under the name Diachasmimorpha longicaudata. RNAcentral describes it as "tRNA-Pro". Lineage: Eukaryota; Metazoa; Arthropoda; Insecta; Hymenoptera; Braconidae. The record is from RNAcentral.